GGCUCGAGGCAAGUGUCUAUACUUGAUAA
Molecule: non-coding RNA, 29 nt
Filed under: Mus musculus (house mouse)
Lineage: Eukaryota; Metazoa; Chordata; Mammalia; Rodentia; Muridae
Source: RNAcentral